CCUACGGGGGGCAGCAGUGAGGAAUAUUGGUCAAUGGACGAGAGUCUGAACCAGCCAAGUAGCGUGAAGGAUGACUGCCUUAUGGGUUGUAAACUUCUUUUAUAUGGGAAUAAAAUGUUCCACGUGUGGGAUUUUGUAUGUACCAUAUGAAUAAGGAUCGGCUAACUCCGUGCCAGCAGCCGCGGUAAUACGGAGGAUCCGAGCGUUAUCCGGAUUUAUUGGGUUUAAAGGGAGCGUAGGUGGAUUGUUAAGUCAGUUGUGAAAGUUUGCGGCUCAACCGUAAAAUUGCAGUUGAAACUGGCAGUCUUGAGUACAGUAGAGGUGGGCGGAAUUCGUGGUGUAGCGGUGAAAUGCUUAGAUAUCACGAAGAACUCCGAUUGCGAAGGUAGUUCACUGGACUGCAACUGACACUGAGGCUCGAAAGUGUGGGUAUCAAACAGGAUUAGAUACCCUAGUAGUC
Molecule: ribosomal RNA, 460 nt
Filed under: uncultured bacterium
Lineage: Bacteria
Description: partial 16S ribosomal RNA
Rfam family: Bacterial small subunit ribosomal RNA
Source: RNAcentral